Molecule: long non-coding RNA, 270 nt
Organism: Cucurbita moschata (crookneck pumpkin)
Lineage: Eukaryota; Viridiplantae; Streptophyta; Magnoliopsida; Cucurbitales; Cucurbitaceae
Exons: 2
Source: RefSeq, a predicted model, not a curated record
UACUUAUUCUAGUAUUUGUUCUUCUGGACUCUCAUCUUAACAUCCAUCAUUGUUGAGAUUACAAGUCUUUCUUGGUCGUCCUUGUGUUUUUGCUUAUAUCUUGGCGCAUAUUUCUUUCCUUGUAUCCAACAAGUUUUGACAUAAUCAACUUUAUUCCUUCAAGGCUAUAUCUUAGAGACUUCUCUUGUUCCUUCUUGUACAAGGCCUAUUGGUUGGUUCUUAGGGUCUCAGGUCCUUCUUUCCUUGCUCUUACUAGGUUUCUUAAUCCUU